Molecule: ribosomal RNA, 799 nt
Filed under: uncultured bacterium
Lineage: Bacteria
Description: bacterial SSU rRNA
Rfam family: Bacterial small subunit ribosomal RNA
Source: RNAcentral
GGCGGACGGGUGAGUAACACGUGAGAAUCUACCUUCAGGACAGGGACAACAGAUGGAAACGCCUGCUAACCCCUGAUGAGCCGAUUGGUAAAAGAUUUAUCGCCUGAAGAGGAGCUCGCGUCUGAUUAGCUAGUUGGUGAGGUAAAGGCUUACCAAGGCAACGAUCAGUAGCUGGUUUGAGAGGAUGAUCAGCCACACUGGGACUGAGACACGGCCCAGACUCCUACGGGAGGCAGCAGUGGGGAAUUUUCCGCAAUGGGCGAAAGCCUGACGGAGCAAUACCGCGUGAGGGAGGAAGGCCUUUGGGUCGUAAACCUCUUUUCUUAGGGAAGAAGCACUGACGGUACCUAAAGAAUAAGCAUCGGCUAACUCCGUGCCAGCAGCCGCGGUAAUACGGAGGAUGCAAGCGUUAUCCGGGAUCAUUGGGCGUAAAGCGUCCGCAGGUGGCUAGUCAAGUCUGCGGUCAAAGACCGGGGCUCAACCCCGGAGAGGCCGUGGAAACUGACAAGCUAGAGUCCGGUAGGGGCAGAGGGAAUUCCCAGUGUAGCGGUGAAAUGCGUAGAGAUUGGGAAGAACAUCGGUGGCGAAAGCGCUCUGCUGGGCCGGAACUGACACUGAGGGACGAAAGCUAAGGGAGCGAAUGGGAUUAGAUACCCCAGUAGUCUUAGCUGUAAACGAUGGAAACUAGGCGUGGCUUGUAUCGACCCGAGCCGUGCCGAAGCUAACGCGUUAAGUUUCCCGCCUGGGGGAGUACGCACGCAAGUGUGAAACUCAAAGGAAUUGACGGGGGCCCGCACAA